This 266-nucleotide long non-coding RNA is filed under the name Vigna radiata. RNAcentral's name for it is "long non-coding RNA (VRAD_LNC002392)". Lineage: Eukaryota; Viridiplantae; Streptophyta; Magnoliopsida; Fabales; Fabaceae. The record is from RNAcentral.
UUGUUUCUAAAUGUGAAUAGUAAAAAGUUGAUUAUUCUAGCAGGGCCACACUCACCUAUCAAAUCCGUACUAAGUUACUGACUCUCUUUCUCUUUUUUCUUUUCUCUUUUCUCUCCAAACUCCAACACUCCAAGUAAUUUUCUUUCUUUACCUCUCUGUGCUAUUCCUGUUCCUAUUCCUAUGACCUCUUCAUUCAUCUUUGUUCAUUCACAUCCAUCUCUCACAUCUCCAUUAUUACAACUCUCCUUUUUUUACCUAAACACCAA